This 1185-nucleotide ribosomal RNA is filed under the name Salmonella enterica subsp. enterica serovar Infantis. Its description in RNAcentral is "partial 23S ribosomal RNA". It matches the Rfam family "Bacterial large subunit ribosomal RNA", at positions 711 to 1795 of the family's 2925-position model. The record is from RNAcentral. Lineage: Bacteria; Pseudomonadati; Pseudomonadota; Gammaproteobacteria; Enterobacterales; Enterobacteriaceae.
AGACCCGAAACCCGGUGAUCUAGCCAUGGGCAGGUUGAAGGUUGGGUAACACUAACUGGAGGACCGAACCGACUAAUGUUGAAAAAUUAGCGGAUGACCUGUGGCUGGGGGUGAAAGGCCAAUCAAACCGGGAGAUAGCUGGUUCUCCCCGAAAGCUAUUUAGGUAGCGCCUCGUGAAUUCAUCUCCGGGGGUAGAGCACUGUUUCGGCUAGGGGGCCAUCCCGGCUUACCAACCCGAUGCAAACUGCGAAUACCGGAGAAUGUUAUCACGGGAGACACACGGCGGGUGCUAACGUCCGUCGUGAAGAGGGAAACAACCCAGACCGCCAGCUAAGGUCCCAAAGUCAUGGUUAAGUGGGAAACGAUGUGGGAAGGCCCAGACAGCCAGGAUGUUGGCUUAGAAGCAGCCAUCAUUUAAAGAAAGCGUAAUAGCUCACUGGUCGAGUCGGCCUGCGCGGAAGAUGUAACGGGGCUAAACCAUGCACCGAAGCUGCGGCAGCGAACGUAUCACUUAAAGCGAUUCAGCGGGUUACGAUUGACGGAGCGAAGCGACGUCAAAGCGUAUACAAAGUCGAGUCGGUUUAAGGAUACGUUCGUUGGGUAGGGGAGCGUUCUGUAAGCCUGUGAAGGUGUGUCGUGAGGCAUGCUGGAGGUAUCAGAAGUGCGAAUGCUGACAUAAGUAACGAUAAAGCGGGUGAAAAGCCCGCUCGCCGGAAGACCAAGGGUUCCUGUCCAACGUUAAUCGGGGCAGGGUGAGUCGACCCCUAAGGCGAGGCCGAAAGGCGUAGUCGAUGGGAAACGGGUUAAUAUUCCCGUACUUGGUGUUACUGCGAAGGGGGGACGGAGAAGGCUAUGUUGGCCGGGCGACGGUUGUCCCGGUUUAAGCGUGUAGGUGUGUGUUCCAGGUAAAUCCGGUUCACUUUAACACUGAGGCGUGAUGACGAGGCACUACGGUGCUGAAGCAACAAAUGCCCUGCUUCCAGGAAAAGCCUCUAAGCAUCAGGUAACAUCAAAUCGUACCCCAAACCGACACAGGUGGUCAGGUAGAGAAUACCAAGGCGCUUGAGAGAACUCGGGUGAAGGAACUAGGCAAAAUGGUGCCGUAACUUCGGGAGAAGGCACGCUGACAUGUAGGUGAAGUGAUUUACUCAUGGAGCUGAAGUCAGUCGAAGAUACCAGCUGGCU